AGCGAACGCUCGCGGCAGGCCUAACACAUGCAAGUCGAACGAACUCUUCGGAGUUAGUGGCGGACGGGUGAGUAACACGUGGGAACGUGCCUUUUGGUUCGGAAUAACUCAGGGAAACUUGUGCUAAUACCGAAUGUGCCCUUCGGGGGAAAGAUUUAUCGCCAUUAGAGCGGCCCGCGUCUGAUUAGCUAGUUGGUGAGGUAACGGCUCACCAAGGCGACGAUCAGUAGCUGGUCUGAGAGGAUGACCAGCCACACUGGGACUGAGACACGGCCCAGACUCCUACGGGAGGCAGCAGUGGGGAAUCUUGCGCAAUGGGCGAAAGCCUGACGCAGCCAUGCCGCGUGAAUGAUGAAGGUCUUAGGAUUGUAAAAUUCUUUCACCGGGGACGAUAAUGACGGUACCCGGAGAAGAAGCCCCGGCUAACUUCGUG
Molecule: ribosomal RNA, 433 nt
Filed under: uncultured bacterium
Lineage: Bacteria
Description: partial 16S ribosomal RNA
Rfam family: Bacterial small subunit ribosomal RNA
Source: RNAcentral